Molecule: ribosomal RNA, 710 nt
Filed under: Bucculatrix sp. 2 ex Hovenia tomentella
Lineage: Eukaryota; Metazoa; Arthropoda; Insecta; Lepidoptera; Bucculatricidae
Description: SSU rRNA
Rfam family: Eukaryotic small subunit ribosomal RNA
Source: RNAcentral
CGGGACUCUUACGAGGCCUCGUAAUCGGAAUGAGUACACUUUAAAUAUUUUAACGAGGAACAAUUGGAGGGCAAGUCUGGUGCCAGCAGCCGCGGUAAUUCCAGCUCCAAUAGCGUAUACUAAAAUUGUUGCGGUUAAAAAGCUCGUAGUUGCAUUUGUGCGCCGCGCUGUCGGUGCACCGCAUUAGCGGUGAUACUGACACGUUUGCGGAGCAUAUCGUCGGUGAGCCGCCGGUAAAACGGCGGUUCAAUAUAAAAAUCCUAUCGCGGUGCUCUUCAGUGAGUGUCGAGAUGGGCCGACAAUUUUACUUUGAACAAAUUAGAGUGCUCAAAGCGGGCUCAAAAUGCUGCUUGAAUAUUUCGUGCAUGGAAUAAUAGAAUAUGAUCUCGGUUCUAUUUUGUUGGUUUUCAGAACUCCGAGGUAAUGAUUAAUAGGGAUAACUGGGGGCAUUCGUAUUGCGACGUUAGAGGUGAAAUUCUUGGAUCGUCGCAAGACGAACAUCAGCGAAAGCAUUUGCCAAAGGUGUUUUCAUCAAUCAAGAACGAAAGUUAGAGGUUCGAAGGCGAUUAGAUACCGCCCUAGUUCUAACCGUAAAUAUGUCAUCUAGCGAUCCGCCGACGUUAUUACAAUGGCUCGGCGGGCAGCUUCCGGGAAACCAAAGAUUUUGGACUCCGGGGGGAGUAUGGUUGCAAAGCUGAAACUUAAAGGAA